UGGGGUGUCGCCAAGUGGUAAGGCAGCAGGUUUUGGCCCUGCUAUUCGGAGGUUCGAGUCCUUCCACCCCAG
Molecule: transfer RNA, 72 nt
Filed under: Nephroselmis olivacea
Lineage: Eukaryota; Viridiplantae; Chlorophyta; Nephroselmidophyceae; Nephroselmidales; Nephroselmidaceae
Description: tRNA-Gln
Rfam family: tRNA
About the family: Transfer RNA (tRNA) molecules are approximately 80 nucleotides in length. Their secondary structure includes four short double-helical elements and three loops (D, anti-codon, and T loops).
Source: RNAcentral